AUUGAACGCUGGCGGCAUGCCUUACACAUGCGAGUCGAACGGUAACAGGUCUUCGGAUGCUGACGAGUGGCGAACGGGUGAGUAAUACAUCGGAACGUGCCCGAUCGUGGGGGAUAACGAGGCGAAAGCUUUGCUAAUACCGCAUACGAUCUACGGAUGAAAGCGGGGGAUCUUCGGACCUCGCGCGGACGGAGCGGCCGAUGGCAGAUUAGGUAGUUGGUGGGAUAAAAGCUUACCAAGCCGACGAUCUGUAGCUGGUCUGAGAGGAUGAUCAGCCACACUGGGACUGAGACACGGCCCAGACUCCUACGGGAGGCAGCAGUGGGGAAUUUUGGACAAUGGGCGAAAGCCUGAUCCAGCCAUGCCGCGUGCAGGAUGAAGGCCUUCGGGUUGUAAACUGCUUUUGUACGGAACGAAAAGCCUCUUUCUAAUAAAGAGGGGUCAUGACGGUACCGUAAGAAUAAGCACCGGCUAACUACGU
This 481-nucleotide ribosomal RNA is filed under the name uncultured bacterium. RNAcentral describes it as "partial 16S ribosomal RNA". It matches the Rfam family "Bacterial small subunit ribosomal RNA", at positions 30 to 506 of the family's 1533-position model. The record is from RNAcentral.